CAUGUCCUUUUGAGUAUAAUUUAAGGUCUAAUCUGCCCACUGAUAUAUUAAAUGGCCGCGAUAUUUUGAUCGUGCAAAGGUAGCAUAAUAAUUAGUUUUUUAAUUGAAAGCUGGUAUGAAUGAUUGAAUGAGAGAAAAGCUGUCUCAAUAUUAAUUAUUUAGAAUUUUAUUUUUAAGUAAAAAAGCUUAAAUAUAAUUAAAAGACGAGAAGACCCUAUAGAGUUUAAUAUUUAGGUAGUUAUUUGAGGAAAGAUUUAAGUUUAAAUAAUUAUUUUAUUUAUUUUGUUGGGGUGACAGAAAAAUUUAGUUAACUUUUUCUUUAUUAUUACAUAGAUAAAUGAUUUUUUGAUCCAAUAUUAUUGAUUAAAAGAAAAAAUUACCUUAGGGAUAACAGCGUAAUUUUUUUUUAGAGUUCUAAUCGAAAAAAAAGAUUGCGACCUCGAUGUUGGAUUAAAGUUAAGUUUAGGUGUAGGAGCUUAAAUUUAGGUCUGUUCGACCUUUAAAACUU
This 508-nucleotide ribosomal RNA is filed under the name Peltis grossa. Its description in RNAcentral is "partial 16S ribosomal RNA". It matches the Rfam family "Bacterial large subunit ribosomal RNA", at positions 1816 to 2596 of the family's 2925-position model. The record is from RNAcentral. Lineage: Eukaryota; Metazoa; Arthropoda; Insecta; Coleoptera; Peltidae.